Molecule: long non-coding RNA, 2301 nt
Filed under: Salvia miltiorrhiza (redroot sage)
Lineage: Eukaryota; Viridiplantae; Streptophyta; Magnoliopsida; Lamiales; Lamiaceae
Description: long non-coding RNA (SMIL_LNC005584)
Source: RNAcentral
GAAAAAGGAAAGAGAUUUCACUAAUAAAAAUGAACCAAGUUUAACAAUAAAUCACUAUAAUAUUGAAUAAUCUUAGGCAACACUUUUAAAACUCAUGAGUAGACAACUUACAAUACACAACGACAAGUUGUCUAACUUUCAAGUGACAUAAUUCUCAACGCUAUUGAUUUAAAAUAUGUACAACACAUCAAUAAAGUAGAGUAGACUAAGUGUUGCAGCGGAGUAAUUCAUGUGGAUUACAUGUAUGAAGACAUGGAAUCCUGAGCCUGGUUUAAUACAUAUACAUCAAAGACUUUGCUCUGCUUGCUACCAUCUGCAUCACAGCUUAACCUGCAUAUUUAGAAACAUACGCAGGGCUGAGUACCAAAAAGCACUCAGUGGUCAUGCCGAAAUAACUUUAAAACUUGCUCUUAGAGCUAUAUAUUGAACUUGCCAUCUCAAACAUCACACAGGAGUUUUAUUUAAAUAACCUGUGUAUGCGAAACUGUAAAACUUCUCUAUAAUCAUCAUCACAUCAUAUACGUGUGCAGACAAUUAACAUGUAUGUACCAUAUCUACGCAUCAUAUAACUUUAAGUGUUGAGAAGUAGGCCUCCUUCUCAAACACGAUGACAAGCUAACUCAAAGGUUAACUGUUAUCUCUGUGUACACAAAUCCUGACUCGCUCAGGACCCGAAUUCGUUCUUCUAUGUAGAUGGUAUCAUACAAAUCUCAAAUAUUGGCAAGUCAAUAAUUGGAAAAUAAAUGCAUACACUCAAACUUUAUAUAAUAAAGUAUGCAUCUUUACUUCUUGAGUUAGUAAGCCCACCUGAUACGCUUAAUGAAAUAGAAGUCUUUGCUUGUUCAUUCUACACUGCCACUCGAACCUUCAUUAUAAUGAGGUUCCCAGGUAAGAUUGGAUAAUAAGUAAGUAAAUAGGAAAUAAAUCUUGAAUGGAACUUCUAUCGCUUGAAAGUUGUAGUAUUCUACUUUUAUGGACUUAACUAACUAAAAGCAAACAAUAACAUCAUAUCUCUUGGGAUAUCUCAAGUUGAAAAAGUAUAAGAGUAAACUAAUCCAUUCCAUAUAGAUUAGCUUACAAUUAAUAACUAAAACAUCAAUUCAAGAAUUGACCAAUGACUUAAGCAUAGUUCUACUCAACUAUCCCAAGUAAGUAACUUCAAAUAUGUAAUCAUAUAUGAAUCUCAACUUUGAAAAAUCAUAUAAAAUCAACCUCUUUCAAAGAAAAAUACAAGCUUUACCUUUUUAGAAAGCUCUUAAAGUCUAUUUUUAUUAGAAAUUUACAAAAAUACAAUAUCUCAAGUGUAUGAGAAGUUAUAUCAAGAAAGGCAGAAUCUGCCACUGAACUUCGCUGCUUCGCGCAGUACAUUUCAGAAAAUAGUUUGACACAUCUAAUGGUCUCGGAUUUAGCUGAAAUUUUGCAGACACGUACUACUCAUGAUGAAGUUAUUACUGUAAAAAUUUCAAGAUAUUUGAACCACGGGAACACCCUCAAAAGUAUCCCUCAAUACACUGUCCUGUACAGCCAAGAACUGACAGCAGGGGUAUCUCUUACUUCAACUCAACAAAAUACAUAUCUUGGCUAAAUAAAGUGAUGUAGGGCUCAAAUAUACAUCAUCUUACUACAUACUAGCAUGCUUGAAAUCCUCCAAUUUCUAUCAUAUAGUUUAUUUUACAAUCUCAAGAGUACAAUUAUACAAGUUUCAAACAUAUGGCUAUCUUACAUCAAGAAUUCCCAAAUCCACUUAUAAACUAACAAAAUCCAUCUCACAAACUAUGUGGUGUAAACUCAUAAUUUACUCAUAUAUGACAUAAUUCCAACUCAAGAACACAUAUAUGAGUCCAAUUAUUCAAGAACAUAAUCAUAACUCUCAACCUCAAACCUAGGGUUCAUACUAACUUGAGUAAACUCGAAAUCAAGUAAGAAUUAAUACAAUUAACUAGCAUAAUCACGGUUAGGAACAUCAAAGACAUACUAUAUCUCAAUAUUAAAAUCAUACUUCAACUCUAGUAUGAAAUCCCCAAAUUUUCGAAACCCUAGACUUCAAAAUAUAAUUUUUCUUCAAGCUAAAAUCACAAAUAGAUGGAGAAUCAAAGAAUUCACCUUUCUUUCAAAAUAGUGCUGCUACUGCUUGACAUAUCUCUACGAAAUUAAGCUUGAAGGUAAGAAAAUGGUGAUUUUUGAUUUCUUUUGGGGAUGGGGAGAUGGUCGACUGUUUUGGGGAGAAGAAAAGGAAAUGAAUCUCCUCAAAACUAAUAUAUACACUUUACAAUAAAUCAAUACUUAUCUCAAACAUUAAAA